CUUUCUUUGCUGGCGACCGGCGCACGGGUGAGUAGCACGUAUCCAACCUGCCUUUACUCGGGGAUAGCCUUUCGAAAGAAAGAUUAAUACCCGAUAGUAUAAUGAUUCCGCAUGGUUUCAUUAUUAAAGGAUUCCGGUAAAGGAUGGGGAUGCGUUCCAUUAGGUUGUUGGUGAGGUAACGGCUCACCAAGCCUUCGAUGGAUAGGGGUUCUGAGAGGAAGGUCCCCCACAUUGGAACUGAGACACGGUCCAA
RNAcentral lists this ribosomal RNA (253 nucleotides) under uncultured bacterium. Its description in RNAcentral is "partial 16S ribosomal RNA". It matches the Rfam family "Bacterial small subunit ribosomal RNA", at positions 79 to 334 of the family's 1533-position model. The record is from RNAcentral.